This 3109-nucleotide long non-coding RNA is filed under the name Olea europaea (common olive). RNAcentral's name for it is "long non-coding RNA (OEUR_LNC014619)". Lineage: Eukaryota; Viridiplantae; Streptophyta; Magnoliopsida; Lamiales; Oleaceae. The record is from RNAcentral.
AUUGUCCUUUGAUGGAUACCGAAACUCGUAAAAGUUUUCCACUUCUUUCAGCCUUUUCCAUUUCCUCGUCCAUUCCUCUUUCCCAAUGCUCCUAAUAAGGUUUAUGAGGAAAUUCUUUUUGAGAGCAUCCGAUAUACGGACGAAUAUGCAGAAUUCAGAAUAGUCGAGAACAUCUUCAUAGGGAAGCUCAAUAUCAUCGCUAAUUAUGACAGGGACACAGUGGCUGGCAAUUGCAUUGAUAACAAUUAAGCGUGGUAUCUGGAUCCUAAAAGAUAAUGAUGCUUGUCUGCUUAUCAGUUUCUCCGAAACUUCCAUACGUGCUGGUUAGUAAUAGAUUAAGUAUUUUGAAUCGAAAAGUUAUCUUUUUCUAUGCUUCUAAGCUUUCUUGGUUUUUGCUCAGGAACAUAGGUUACGGCUUGGACAGAAAGCUAUAUUUCACCUGGAAGGUAUGUCAGAAAAUUGUCUGAAGUCUUGUUAGAAUGAGUAUAUGGCAGAAUUGUGUGCUACUUAUGUUUUAUGUACUUCUGUGAUUAGUUAUCUACAGUUCAACAGCCAUCGAGGCCAAACUAGUGAAGACUAUAAUAAACCAAAAAUUGUAGAUGGCACAUUCUCUGUCUCCGGUGUUUCAAAAUUGCACAUCACCCCCCACACAUUCCAUAUUUUGAAAAUACUCAAAUUACCUUUUUAACAUACUAUGUAUCUAGGGAUGCCCAAUAAGCACUUGGGUUUGAUUUUUCUGAAGUGUGUGGCAAUAAUGUGCCUAAUGGUUUUUGUACUAUUUUAAGUAAGUUAAGACAAGAAAUGGGGGUUAAGACUAAAACCAACUAUAGUCAAUAGAUGGAGGGUAGUGAACUUGGUUAGAAACUAUAUGGGAAAUUGUCCAUCUUUUAAGCAAAAGGACUGUGCACCCAUCACAUGGAAUAAAAUGCUCUUUUCUCAACAGGAAAAGAGUAAUAUCCCUGGAUAAUCAUGUAUUUCGAAUUAUAGCUCCUGAUAUUUAUGCGCAUUACAUUGGAAUCCUGAAGCACCACCACAAAGGUGCGCAAUGCCUGCCUGCAGUUUGGCACCAGCAGCCAACUCUGGCGGUAGCAUAUUUUCCCCAUUUUCCGUAUAUUUUGAGAAGCUUUAUCACUUCUUUAAAAGCAUCAGAGUUGUUGACUCAUUGUUCCCAUUUUUAUCUUUUAACUAGUUUGCUUCAGAAACUUCCUGAUUUUGAGAAACCAAAUCCAAGUGUCUUCCAGUAUUACCAAAGAGUGCUGUCUCUUCUUUUAGACCUAAUGAAGUUUUAGUUUCUCUAAGGCAGUGUUUAAAUGUCUAAGAAUCUUAUGCGUCUUCAAACGAUAGGAUAUGUGCUUAGCACGUCCCAUAUUGAGUUUUUGGGCUCCAACUGUUCAGAAUGUAUUAAUAUCGAACGGAGCAUCACACUUCCAAAAACUUCAUCUUUUUUAUUAAUUCACCAAUUUUAUAUUCUGUGACUGAAAUCAUGCUUCAAAUAUGAUUUAUUGCAAUAAUGUGAUUGAUUGAUGUUUUAUUUCAUUGCACAUAUUUUCAUAUGUUUUUUUCUGGAAUGACGUGCAUGUCUAUAUCUUAUGUAACUUUACUUCAGCAAUUUAGAAUCUUAGCAGUAUAAUUCAGAGAUUAUGUAUUGCUACUACUGGAAUUUUAUGUAAUCAAUCUUGCAGCGUUUGUGGCCAAGUUUAUGAGCAUCUACAAGGGUUUCCUGAUUGAGACAUUUGGCUGAAAUUAGAUGAAGAAAGGAUAUGAUUUUGUCAUCUAUUUGCUAUAGUUUGAUUUGGAUGUGGACAAAUCGUUCUGUGAUAGAUUCUCUGCUUGUGCUACAUUGCGUUGAAAAUCUUGGUUGACUGGAUUCUUAUCAUUUUCAUGUAUUUAAUUUAUUUCCAUAAUUCUCUAGUCACUGCUUUUAUUGUUUCUUUGGUCUUACGCCCAGUAUUUGCAUUAUAAAAAACAGAAAUCUUUAAAAGAUUUUCUUCAUAUUUUUCCAAGAUAACUCAAUUUCUAUCUUUUGUUUAACACUGACCAGCCAAAAACAAAAAACUACCAGUGUGUAAUGGAUAAUUUUUAAGAUGUAAUUUAAACUCAUGCGGUUUUUCUGCUGAAAAAUGUCAAUAAGAGCCUGGGGGCAGCCUUCUCCCUUUUCCUAGGCAGGCAAGCCCGAAACAGCUAGCGCGCACGUUCAUGGGUCGAAAGCUAAACAAUAUUUGCAUAUAAUCACAUCAUUAGUGUACUUUUUGAUAAUAUAUAUUAUACGUCUAACUGUUGGUGAACUUGUCGUGCUGUAUGGGAAGAACACUUUCACAACCAAGAACUAGUGAUUCAUCGAGUACAUCAGGCCUUAGAAAAAGAUAAAAAUACCAAAGAUGAUGCAAUUCUUACACAAUGUACAAUGUUCAUCUAAUGGAUCAUCCAUGAAUUCAAGUUCUUGGCAAGGCAGAAUUCAAAUGCUGGCUGCGUGCCUUCAUCUAAUAAUUGGUCCGUGCAAAUAAAACUACACUUGGCCAACAAUAUUGAACAACUCAACAGAGAAACAAAUGAACAAAAUUGAUCAACUAUUUCUACUGUGAUGAAACAUAACCAAAAUUGAAUCCCAUUUUUACCUAUUCAUUUCUUCAAUUUUUUCGGUCAUGAUCAUUCUCUCUACCGAACACUUGCAUUUACACGCAGGGUUUCCACCAUCUUCAACACACAAAUCUUGAUAUCUCAAAAAGUUUCAAGACCUAAUCAACGGUCACCAAAAAUUUCUUGGGAUAUCGACCGACAUAACCUCUCCUUGUCCAGAAACAAUAGUACGAGAAAACCGCCUAGCCCUAUGAAGCUUCCUUUUCAUAGCCGGAACCUUUCUAGAAACAGCUUGCCAUAUCAUCUGAACAGCAUCAUUGUCCUUUGAUGGAUACCGAAACUCGUAAAAGUUUUCCACUUCUUUCAGCCUUUUCCAUUUCCUCGUCCAUUCCUCUUUCCCAAUGCUCCUAAUAAGGUUUAUGAGGAAAUUCUUUUUGAGAGCAUCCGAUAUACGGACGAAUAUGCAGAAUUCAGAAUAGUCGAGAACAUCUUCAUAGGGAAGCUCAAUAUCAUCGCUAAUUAUGACAGGGAC